This 243-nucleotide ribosomal RNA is filed under the name Metschnikowia reukaufii. RNAcentral's name for it is "partial 25S ribosomal RNA". It matches the Rfam family "Eukaryotic large subunit ribosomal RNA", at positions 333 to 637 of the family's 3401-position model. The record is from RNAcentral. Lineage: Eukaryota; Fungi; Ascomycota; Pichiomycetes; Serinales; Metschnikowiaceae.
ACCGAUAGCGAACAAGUACAGUGAUGGAAAGAUGAAAAGCACUUUGAAAAGAGAGUGAAAAAGUACGUGAAAUUGUUGAAAGGGAAGGGCUUGCAAGCAGACACUAACCUCGGUUGGGCCAGNAUCGGAGUGGGGGGAGACAAAAAAGAAAAGGAAUGUAACUCUUUCGAGUAUUAUAGCCNNUUUCUCAUAUCUCNNCCNNNUUCCGAGGCCNGCGAUUCUUCAAGGAUGCUGGNGUAAUGG